UGGGGCGGCAGGUGAGAGGACAAUGGGCGGCGGGAGGAGGACAGGCAGCGGGUGAAGCCCCGCUGCCCCGAGAAGGACGGCAAGGCAAAGGGAGGCAGCAGCCUGAGGAGGAUGGUUCCUCAAACAGAUUGCCAAUAAGUAUGAUAUGUAAUUCAAGAUACAGAAUAAGUCUUGUAAAAGGCCAGAUCUUAGCUCUCUUGUAAAAGAGAUCCAGCAAGUGUUUAAAGAAAAGGAAAACAUCCAAACAGCAGUUAAGCUUUACCCGCAAAACAUAGAAAAUCCGCCUUUAGAGGAGCUGCAACUUUCAAACAAUAUUCAACGUGACCAAGAUAUAUAAAAUCCUAUCUGCAUUAUCUUGACAAGCAACUCAAGCCUUCUUGAAAACCUAUACCCCUAAUUUUAAAAGAACACUUAACUGACUUGUUCUUUAUUCCCUUAUAAAAUAACAUUUUAUGUGAUUUAGAUUUGAGUUUUUCCAUGUUUUAAAAAGACAACUGAAAAGCAGCUGUUAACAAAAACAGAAACCAACUAUAUUUCUUUGUUGAGAGAGAGAAACUACACUGAUUUGAAUUAUAUUCAUGAUCAACUCCAAGUCUUUUCUUCAAGAGGUUAGAACAAGUAAAUAAAUCUACAUCCAAGAUACAAGUUCUCAAACCAUGGAUUGAUCCCCUUGAGAUGUAUAGGAGUUGCUAUGGAUCCUGCCAGAACCACAGCCUUCCUCUCUUAGGAAAAGCAGCUGCCUGUCAGGCAUGUCUUGUUCUGAUUUGUCUCAUGUCAGUACUGGAGCAAGUUAUGCCCUGAUCCACAUCUUGAUAUGCAGCAAUGAACUACAUACAUACUGCAACUGCUCAUCGAGGUCUCAAACAAGAUGGAUGGUGAUGGACUGGAGGAUUGUAAGGUCCCAACACUCAGGGAGAAACACAUCGGUAAGGGCAUUCCUUAAUAACUGGUAACCGCCAUUAUCCUGUUCUCUAUGAAGCUUAAGGAAGCUCAUGCAUGGUGGAUGGUGAGGAAAGGGGGUGC
This is a long non-coding RNA of Hemicordylus capensis (graceful crag lizard), 1023 nucleotides long. RefSeq lists it as uncharacterized. The record is from RefSeq and is a predicted model, not a curated record. Lineage: Eukaryota; Metazoa; Chordata; Lepidosauria; Squamata; Cordylidae. The transcript has 4 exons.